CCUACGGGAGGCAGCAGUGAGGAAUAUUGGUCAAUGGGCGGAAGCCUGAACCAGCCAAGUAGCGUUCGGGAUGAAGGCCCUACGGGUCGUAAACCGCUUUUGCACGGGGAUAACACCCUCCACUUGUGGAGGUCUGCAGGUACCGUGCGAAUAAGGGCCGGCUAAUUCCGUGCCAGCAGCCGCGGUAAUACGGAAGGCCCGAGGGUUAUCCGGAUUCAUUGGGUUUACAGGGUGCGUAGGAGGAGUUUUAAGUAAGCGGGAAAAUGUCCGGGCUCAACCCGGGCCGGACGUUGAAACGGGGGAUCUUGAGUGGGCGAGAAGUAUGCGGAAUGCGUGGUGUAGCGGGGAAAUGCAUAGAUAGCACGCAGAACUCCGAUUGCGAAGGCAGCAUACCGGCGCCCGACUGACGCUGAGGCACGAAAGCGUGGGGAUCGAACAGGAUUAGAUACCCGGGUAGUC
RNAcentral lists this ribosomal RNA (459 nucleotides) under uncultured bacterium. RNAcentral's name for it is "partial 16S ribosomal RNA". It matches the Rfam family "Bacterial small subunit ribosomal RNA", at positions 338 to 795 of the family's 1533-position model. The record is from RNAcentral.